Molecule: ribosomal RNA, 468 nt
Filed under: uncultured bacterium
Lineage: Bacteria
Description: partial 16S ribosomal RNA
Rfam family: Bacterial small subunit ribosomal RNA
Source: RNAcentral
GACGAACGCUGGCGGCGUGCUUAACACAUGCAAGUCGAACGGAAAGGCCCUGCUUUUGUGGGGUGCUCGAGUGGCGAACGGGUGAGUAACACGUGAGUAACCUGCCCUUGACUUUGGGAUAACUUCAGGAAACUGGGGCUAAUACCGGAUAGGAGCUCCUGCUGCAUGGUGGGGGUUGGAAAGUUUCGGCGGUUGGGGAUGGACUCGCGGCUUAUCAGCUUGUUGGUGGGGUAGUGGCUUACCAAGGCUUUGACGGGUAGCCGGCCUGAGAGGGUGACCGGCCACAUUGGGACUGAGAUACGGCCCAGACUCCUACGGGAGGCAGCAGUGGGGAAUAUUGCACAAUGGGCGGAAGCCUGAUGCAGCAACGCCGCGUGCGGGAUGACGGCCUUCGGGUUGUAAACCGCUUUCGCCUGUGACGCAGCGUGAGUGACGGUAAUGGGUAAAGAAGCACCGGCUAACCACGUG